AUUGAACGCUGGCGGCAGGCCUAACACAUGCAAGUCGAACGAGUGGCGGACGGGUGAGUAAUGUCUGGGAAACUGCCUGAUGGAGGGGGAUAACUACUGGAAACGGUAGCUAAUACCGCAUACCAUCAGAUGUGCCCAGAUGGGAUUAGCUAGUAGGUGGGGUAAAGGCUCACCUAGGCGACGAUCCCUAGCUGGUCUUAGAGGAUGACCUGCAACACUGGGACUGAGACACGGUCCAGACUCCUACGGGAGGCAGCAGUGGGGAAUAUUGCACAAUGGGCGCGAGCCUGUUGCAUCCAUGCCGCGUGUAUGAAGAGGGCCUGCGGGUUGUAAAGUACUUUCAGCGGGGAGGGGUACCCCGCAGAAGAAACACCGGCUAACUCCGUGCCAGCCGCCGCGGUAAUUG
Molecule: ribosomal RNA, 406 nt
Filed under: uncultured bacterium
Lineage: Bacteria
Description: partial 16S ribosomal RNA
Rfam family: Bacterial small subunit ribosomal RNA
Source: RNAcentral